GACGAACGCUGGCGGCGUGCUUAACACAUGCAAGUCGAACGGAAAGGCCCUGCUUUUGUGGGGUGCUCGAGUGGCGAACGGGUGAGUAACACGUGAGUAACCUGCCCUUGACUUUGGGAUAACUUCAGGAAACUGGGGCUAAUACCGGAUAGGAGCUCCUGCUGCAGGGUGGGGGUUGGAAAGUUUCGGCGGUUGGGGAUGGACUCGCGGCUUAUCAGCUUGUUGGUGGGGUAGUGGCUUACCAAGGCUUUGACGGGUAGCCGGCCUGAGAGGGUGACCGGCCACAUUGGGACUGAGAUACGGCCCAGACUCCUACGGGAGGCAGCAGUGGGGAAUAUUGCACAAUGGGCGGAAGCCUGAUGCAGCAACGCCGCGUGCGGGAUGACGGCCUUCGGGUUGUAAUCCGCUUUCGCCUGUGACGAAGCGUGAGUGACGGUAAUGGGUAAAGAAGCACCGGCUAACUACGUG
RNAcentral lists this ribosomal RNA (468 nucleotides) under uncultured bacterium. RNAcentral's name for it is "partial 16S ribosomal RNA". It matches the Rfam family "Bacterial small subunit ribosomal RNA", at positions 28 to 507 of the family's 1533-position model. The record is from RNAcentral.